Long non-coding RNA from Metopolophium dirhodum (rose-grain aphid), 1352 nucleotides. RefSeq lists it as uncharacterized. The transcript has 3 exons. Lineage: Eukaryota; Metazoa; Arthropoda; Insecta; Hemiptera; Aphididae. The record is from RefSeq and is a predicted model, not a curated record.
AUUUUCAAGCGACCGGUUAUCAAGGUUACCAAGCUGCCUGUAUAAUACGAUGCUCACUUUGUACUGGUGCGUAUGGACGUCCCAUAUCCUUGUCUAUUAUCCACCACUAUGUAUGUUAUUUUGUAUUCUGAUUUAUUUGAUGUUCGUGUAUAAAAUGUUAUAGUUUAAAAAUUUACAUAAUUAGUAAUUAUCUUAGUAUUGUUUAUAACUGUAAUGCCGUUGAUUGCGCCAAAUACAUGAAAACCAGGACAAGCAAGUUUGAAAGCUCACUGCUUUCAAAGGCGGGAGGAUGUUCAGUGCCGACUCCGGCGGCGACCAUAUUUAUUUUUGUCGUGGGUCUACGCCGAUAAGGCGUAGAAUCUUCUAGAAUGUUGUGUGGUGUAUAUCAUUUUAAUACAGUCCACUUUUUAAGAUUGAAAACUCGCCGAAGUUGUUAAUUAUUUAUUAUUAUUAAUAACCUAUAUCUUUAGGCGAGUAAUUAUUACCUAACCGUACCUAUAUACAUAUAAAAAUAUUAUAAUAAUAUAUUAUUUAUGUUUGAAUUCAUUAGAAUAAUGGCGUAUCAGACGUCGCUCCCAAACCGGUCGACAUCCAUCUGCAUGACUCAUUCCACAAGAAUGAGCGGUAUAGUUUGAAAACUUACCAAAGUUAUCUGGUGGAUGACGAUACGUUGGUGAGCAGCCGUCGCACAUCGGUCUGAUGUACCUAUGGAAAGUUAUUAUUGGAUCGGUCAUAAUAUUACGUUGAGAAAUUAUCUGUCCAUAAACUUAUUUUCAGAUUUGUAGGCCAAUUCCGUUGUCAUUUUUUAAUCAUUCUUUUUUUUUUUUAUUAAGGUUGAGGUGUAACAGCAUUUUAGGGGCUAUUGUAAUUCCCACAUCCAGGACUUUAUCAUACAUACAGCCGACAGCUCGAUGACCUACAUUUUUGUGUAUUCUGGUCUACCCUAUGAUGGCCGCGAAGUAACGAUCACGUCACCGUUUAUCAGAUUGCCCAGUUUGAAAAAAUAUCCAACAAUUUCAUCGGAUAGGUACGCCAUAAAUCGUGGCAUAGCGCUGGGCCAGCAUCAUUUUGUCCGGAUCAAUAUCUACAAAAAUGACAUCCCAAUUAUUAGAAGCUAAUGAUAUAGUGUCUUUGUCGAACAGUCAGCUGUACGAAGUUUCCGCUGUGCCACAAAACAGGUCGACGCCGGUCGCUGAACAUGCAUCGUAUUGAUGAAUCAACAAUACAUCUUACAUUUUACAUCUAACAUCUUACAUCUUACAUCUAUCAUUGCAAUCUUAUAAAUUAUAAUUAUUCACCUGAAUGCAUGUAAUCCUGAAUGUACAGUUAAUUUAUUACUACCCAUCUACAAA